Molecule: long non-coding RNA, 922 nt
Filed under: Bos indicus x Bos taurus (hybrid cattle)
Lineage: Eukaryota; Metazoa; Chordata; Mammalia; Artiodactyla; Bovidae
Description: lncRNA (ENSBIXG00000002981.1)
Source: RNAcentral
UUGCACAUGAAACUCUGAGCAUCUCUUUAAUUGUCAUCUUAGGAUAAAUUCCAGGAUUAGGGCUUGUGGGUCAAUACGUAGGCAGUUUAAAGAUAUUUACACAUAUUGUCAUUUUUGUUUUCCUUCUAGAAGACUAUAUCUGCUAAUACACCCAUCCUUGUUGACUAUUUACGGUUUUACCCAACUCCUGAGUGCUAUGGUCAGUGCCACCAAGUUCAUGGGUCUGGCAGUGAUGGGAAAAUGGAGAUGCAUUUCUUGCAGUCCAGCUAAUGGAUACUUGGUGAACUUGUUUGUUGUUGCUCAGUUGGUAAGUCGUGUCCAACUCUGUGACCCCAUGUACUGCAGUACACCAGCUUUCCCUGUUCUUCACUAUCUCCCGGAGUUUGCUCAAACUCGUGCCCAUUAAGUCAGUGAUGCCAUCCAACCAUCUCAUCUUCUGUUGCCCCCUUCUCUUGCCCUCAGUCUUUCCCAGCAUCAGAGUCUUUUCCAGUAAGUUGGCACUUUGCAUCAGGUGGCCAAAGUGGAGCAUUGGAGUAUCAACUUCAGCAUCAGUCCUUUCAAUGAAUAUUCAGGACUGAUUUCCUUUAGGAUUGACUGGUUUGAUCUCCAUGCUGUCCAAGGGACUCUCAAGAGUCUUCUCCAGCCCCACAGUUUGAAAGCAUCAAUUAUCCAGUGCUCAGUCUUCUUUAUGGUCCAGUUCUCACAUCCAUAUAUGACUACUGGAAAAACCAUAGCUUUGACCAUAUGGACCUUUGUCAACAGAGUGAUGUCUGGUUUUUAAUACACUAUCUAGUUUUGUCAUAGCUUUUCUUCCAAGGAGCAAGCAUCUUGCCCACUACGUUUCUAUUAUGCUCAUCAACCUGAAAAAAUUAUUUUAUCUUUCAAUCUGCUUUGCCCCAAAGCACCAUAUCCACAAAUAACC